Monodelphis domestica (gray short-tailed opossum) is the source of this 63-nucleotide regulatory RNA element. It matches the Rfam family "Selenocysteine insertion sequence 1". Rfam says of the family: The incorporation of selenocysteine into a protein sequence is directed by an in-frame UGA codon (usually a stop codon) within the coding region of the mRNA. Selenoprotein mRNAs contain a conserved secondary structure in the 3' UTR that is required for the distinction of UGA stop from UGA selenocysteine. The selenocysteine insertion sequence (SECIS) is around 60 nt in length and adopts a hairpin structure which is sufficiently well-defined and conserved to act as a computational screen for selenoprotein genes. NCBI's taxonomy places the organism in Eukaryota, Metazoa, Chordata, Mammalia, Didelphimorphia, Didelphidae. The record is from Rfam.
UUCACAGGAUGAUAGCAUCUUCUUAAACCCUUGAGGGGGAAUGAGAUGCUUGAGAGUCGUGAA